RNAcentral lists this ribosomal RNA (382 nucleotides) under uncultured eukaryote. RNAcentral describes it as "partial 18S ribosomal RNA". It matches the Rfam family "Eukaryotic small subunit ribosomal RNA", at positions 592 to 976 of the family's 1831-position model. The record is from RNAcentral.
CAAUAGCGUAUAUUAAAGUUGUUGCAGUUAAAAAGCUCGUAGUUGGAUUUCUGGAUGGAGCGACCGGUCGGGCAUUAAUUUGUCUGCACUGGAGUCGGUUCCGUCCAUCCUCUUGGAAAGUGCGUCGGGCAUUAAGUUGUUUGGCGUAUGAUCCAAGUCGUUUACUGUGAAAAAAUUAGAGUGUUUAAAGCAGGCCUUCGCCUUAAAUACAUUAGCAUGGAAUAAUAAGAUAGGACUUUGGUCUAUUUUGUUGGUUUGCAGACCGAAGUAAUGAUUAAUAGGGAUAGUUGGGGGUAUUUAUAUUCCGAUGUCAGAGGUGAAAUUCUUAGAUUUUCGGAAGAUAAACUUAUGCGAAAGCAUUUACCAAGGAUGUUUUCAUUAA